Molecule: ribosomal RNA, 272 nt
Filed under: uncultured Sphingobacteriales bacterium
Lineage: Bacteria; Pseudomonadati; Bacteroidota; Sphingobacteriia; Sphingobacteriales
Description: partial 16S ribosomal RNA
Rfam family: Bacterial small subunit ribosomal RNA
Source: RNAcentral
CGUUAGUUGCCAUCUGGUAAUGCAGGGGACUCUAGCGAAACUGCCACCGUAAGGUGAGAGGAAGUGGGGAUGACGUCAAAUCAGCAGGCCCUUAUGUCCAGGACUACACACGUGUUACAAUGGUCGGUACAGAGGGCAGCUACCUGGUGACAGGAUGCUAAUCUCGAAAACCGGUCUCAGUUCGGAUCGAAGUCUGCAACUCGACUUCGUGAAGCUGGAUUCGCUAGUAAUCGCGCAUCAGCUAUGGCGCGGUGAAUACGUUCCCGGGCCUU